GUGUUGUAUGAAAGGAGAGAAGGUUAGCACUCCCCUUGACAAGGAUGGAAGAGGCCCUUGGGCCUGACAACAUGCAUACGGUUAAGGUAAUGCCACCUAUUUCAUGGCAUCUAACCAAUUUUUAU
Heterocephalus glaber (naked mole-rat) is the source of this 125-nucleotide small nuclear RNA. NCBI's taxonomy places the organism in Eukaryota, Metazoa, Chordata, Mammalia, Rodentia, Bathyergidae. The record is from Ensembl.